Molecule: ribosomal RNA, 516 nt
Filed under: uncultured Glomeromycotina
Lineage: Eukaryota; Fungi; Glomeromycota
Description: SSU rRNA
Rfam family: Eukaryotic small subunit ribosomal RNA
Source: RNAcentral
AGCAGCCGCGGUAAUUCCAGCUCCAAUAGCGUAUAUUAAAGUUGUUGCAGUUAAAAAGCUCGUAGUUGAAUUUCAGGCCUGGCUGGACGGUCCGCCUUCGGGUGAGUACUGUCUGUGGUCGGGUCCUACCUUCUGGCGAAGCGUCAUGGCCUUAACCGGCCGUGGCGGGGAACCAGGACUUUUACUGUGAAAAAUUAGAGUGUUCAAAGCAGGCAAUCGCUUGGAUACAUUAGCAUGGAAUAAUGGAAUAGGACAAUGGUUCUAUUUGUUGGUUUCUAGGACCGUUGUAAUGAUUAAUAGGGAUAGUUGGGGGCAUUAGUAUUCAAUUGUCAGAGGUGAAAUUCUUGGAUUUAUUGAAGACUAACUACUGCGAAAGCAUUUGCCAAGGAUGUUUUCAUUAAUCAAGAACGAAAGUUAGGGGAUCGAAGACGAUCAGAUACCGUCGUAGUCUUAACCAUAAACUAUGCCGACUAGGAUCGGGCGAUGUUGAAAAAAUGACGCGCUCGGCACCUCAUG